AACGAACGCUGGCGGCGUGUUUAACACAUGCAAGUCGAACGGUAAGGCCCUUCGGGGUGCACGAGUGGCGAACGGGUGAGUAACACGUGGGUGAUCUGCCCUGCACUUCGGGAUAAGCCUGGGAAACUGGGUCUAAUACCGGAUAGGACCACUGCCUGCAUGGGUGGUGGUGGAAAGCUUUUGCGGUGUGGGAUGGGCCCGCGGCCUAUCAGCUUGUUGGUGGGGUGAUGGCCUACCAAGGCGACGACGGGUAGCCGGCCUGAGAGGGUGACCGGCCACACUGGGACUGAGAUACGGCCCAGACUCCUACGGGAGGCAGCAGUGGGGAAUAUUGCACAAUGGGCGCAAGCCUGAUGCAGCGACGCCGCGUGAGGGAUGACGGCCUUCGGGUUGUAAACCUCUUUCAGCGCCGACGAAGCGCAAGUGACGGUAGGUGCAGAAGAAGGACCGGCUAACUACGUGCCAGCCGCCGCAGUAA
Molecule: ribosomal RNA, 478 nt
Filed under: uncultured bacterium
Lineage: Bacteria
Description: partial 16S ribosomal RNA
Rfam family: Bacterial small subunit ribosomal RNA
Source: RNAcentral